Long non-coding RNA from Gasterosteus aculeatus (three-spined stickleback), 1017 nucleotides. NCBI's taxonomy places the organism in Eukaryota, Metazoa, Chordata, Actinopteri, Perciformes, Gasterosteidae. The record is from Ensembl.
AUGUUUAAACGUGUGUUCACUAUAUGUGCUGCAAUUGAUGAGAAAAUUCUUCUGUCCCCUUCAGAUGUCCAUAGAACUGUCGGCCCAUUCACAACCAAGACAGAGGCCGUUGCGGAAGGACAUGUCGACCUGGACCAAGAGCUGUACAGAAAACCAAAGCCAGAGAGAGAAGGACGUUUGUUCCACCAAGUGUACCCCUACGCAAGCCUGCUGCCUCUGCUCGGGGAGUUCGACCCAGCCAGUACUGAGGAAGAACCCGAGUCGGACGUAGACGGGGAGCUAGCAGAGCAGCUGGCAGGCUGGAAGAUGGCAACGGAUCCUCAAAUCAGCACCAUUACAGUGAACGUCAAAGUGUCCCAGGAGCUGCUGCAGCAGGCCAACCGGAGCCUGGACGCGGUGGAAGCCCCCCCCCUGCUGGACUACAGAGGGGUGGAGGACGUUGACUGGCGCAGAGAUGCUCCCCGCUAUCGACACAGCGACCCCUCCCGCGCUUCCUUCCCCACGUCCAAAGCCAAGGCUAAGCUCUGCGGAGUGAGCGCUGCCGUCGGGCCGCCGAAGAAGCACUACAGUCUAAUUCCGCCCGGGGGGGAGGAAUGGGGAAGGAACCUGGAGGCCCAGCUUCAGAGCACAGAUUGGGAACCGCUGAGCGAGGAGGAACUCUCUCAAUGGCUGAGUUACUAUCCGGUGGAGCAGCAGCACGUCCCCUCCUCGGGACGCCACGCCUCAGCGACCUCGCCGCUGGGAGCUGAUGCCGGAGAGGAAUUGAGCCAGUACACAUCUGCUCUGGACCACAGUCUCGUCAGCAUCCUCCCCGAGAGGAAGAAUACGCAGGUACAUGGGCUACAUCAGCAAGAGUACUUUUUAGUCACUAUCAUUGGGACACAUUUCUCUAUGUUACAAUUAUUAUCGUUUGUGUCAGAUUGUCAGACGUCUCCUCCAGACAUCCAGUUCCCCAGAAGAUGUAGCGGUUACAUUAGAGCUGUGCCAGCCAGCAGCUGGUGGGAGUCCACCCUCUGA